Molecule: ribosomal RNA, 254 nt
Filed under: uncultured bacterium
Lineage: Bacteria
Description: partial 16S ribosomal RNA
Rfam family: Bacterial small subunit ribosomal RNA
Source: RNAcentral
UACGUAGGGCGCAAGCGUUAUCCGGAAUUAUUGGGCGUAAAGAGCUCGUAGGCGGUUUGUCGCGUCUGCCGUGAAAGUCCGGGGCUCAACUCCGGAUCUGCGGUGGGUACGGGCAGACUAGAGUGAUGUAGGGGAGACUGGAAUUCCUGGUGUAGCGGUGAAAUGCGCAGAUAUCAGGAGGAACACCCGAUGGCGAAGGCAGGUCUCUGGGCAUUAACUGACGCUGAGGAGCGAAAGCAUGGGGAGCGAACAGG